Molecule: ribosomal RNA, 474 nt
Filed under: uncultured bacterium
Lineage: Bacteria
Description: bacterial SSU rRNA
Rfam family: Bacterial small subunit ribosomal RNA
Source: RNAcentral
GAUGAACGCUAGCUACAGGCUUAACACAUGCAAGUCGAGGGGAAACGAUAGAGAAAGCUUGCUUUUUCUAGGCGUCGACCGGCGCACGGGUGAGUAACGCGUAUCCAACCUGCCCACCACUUGGGGAUAACCUUGCGAAAGUAAGACUAAUACCCAAUGACGUCUCUAGAAGACAUCUGAAAGAGAUUAAAGAUUUAUCGGUUACAGAUGAACAUGCGUUCCAUUAGCUGGUUGGCGGGGUAACGGCCCACCAAGGCAACGAUGGAUAGGGGUUCUGAGAGGAAGGUCCCCCACAUUGGAACUGAGACACGGUCCAAACUCCUACGGGAGGCAGCAGUGGGGAAUAUUGGGCAAUGGGCGCAAGCCUGACCCAGCAACGCCGCGUGAAGGAAGAAGGCUUUCGGGUUGUAAACUUCUUUUAAGAGGGAAGAGCAGAAGACGGUACCUCUAGAAUAAGCCACGGCUAACUACGUG